GCCAACCCUUGGGUCCACAUGAGCCCACUUUGGAGUUGACUCUAAUCCCCUAAAUCAUGAUGCUAUAGGGGAGAAAGGUGGACUCAACUGGACAAUAUAAGUCCUGCACAUGUAAACUAAAGUUGAUUUUUUUUCCUCCCUGUUCUUUCCUGAGCAGAGUUGAAAAAGAAAUGAACACACCAGCUUCAGAAUGAAAGCCUUAGUUUUGGAAGGUCAUUGAUUUACCCUCAUUCUUUUCUUCCAGAUUGAUUGGUAUCAGUGCCUUACAUUGAUCUGUGUUCCAACCUUGGCGGUGCGUUUUGUUUUGUUUUUCUGAAUUGUCUGCAAGUUAUUUGUUCAAACCGUGAAACCAGACUACUCAAAACCCUCUGCCAGACCUUCAACCCAUCAACAGUGGUUCAAAGGAAUUCCCCAGUCUUGCUGCACUCCCAGAAGAAAUCUCCCUCAAACUGUUUGGCAAUGCCUGGUCAGUCACAGGAAGAACCACUCUUGUGCACGCUCACAGUCACGAUUUUCCAGGAGAAGAGCAACACAUGUCCACUGUGGAAACAUUAGAAAACAGAUAACCCAAGGGAAAAAAGAGAAGCCUUGUCACCACACCAUGCCCCAGGGAACUCAUAAAACAAAGGGCAUGUUCCGGAGGUGCAGUCUCCCCUCCAAGUGAUCUAAACCAGCUUUGACUUUUCCAGCAGGAAGUUGGACUGGAAUAUUUCACAUUUAGCCCCCCUAUAUUUGUGAAGUUCCUGAAUGGAUCUAUUCUUCGACUAGCCUUUCCAAGGGUCUUUAUUAAGUUGUGAACUUUAUAACCAUUUAAGGAAAUUUAUGGAAAGGGACAGAGAUGGGUUUUUUUUUUUUUUUUUUUUUAAGAUUUUACUUAUUUCUUCAUGAGAAAAACAGAGAGAGAGAGGCAGAGAGAGAAGCAGGGUCCCUCCAGGGAGCCUGAUGCAGGACUCAAUCCCAGGACGCCAGGAUCAUGACCUGAGCCAAAGGCAGAUGCUCAACCACUGAGCCACCCAGGCGUCCUGGAAAGGGACAGAGUUUGAGAAGCUGUUCUUUCACAUUACUUUCUCAAAGUCUCAUGUCCAUCUUUUGCAAAAAUGAAAAAGAACCUACUUCUCUUCAUUUGGGCUGGCACAUGCAAUUUCACCUUACUUUGUAAAUAAAAGGGAGGCAACUUUUCUGAAAUACAGGGUUGAGAAAGUAUGCUCAGCCUCACAGACCCUCCUCUAGGCACACCUGUGGGUUCACUGGUGCUUAUUAUGGAAACCACUUGAAAAUGCCCGAAGGUUGGAUUGUUUCCAAAACGUCAGAUGCGUACAGCACUUAGGUUCAGAGCUAGAACAGAUUCUAGGAUGGGAUUCUGUAUCACCACAAGUCCCUGUGUGGAUCUGAGUGUGGGAUCGGGGCCAAUGGCAUAAUUAGAAAUCAGGCGUUACUUCAGAGGGGUGCUUUCCCACCCUGCUCACAGCACCUGCCCCGCCUCCAUUACUUCUCUACUGAGUCUACACAGUCCCGCUGACACCGUGGGUCAUCAGCAGUUUGGCCCUUCGUAACCUGAGGAUUCCUGUUGGAGAGAAUAGGAGCCCCUGAAUACCUGGAAGAGAAGGGGUGGGGGUGGGGGGCAGGAGCACACAAAUGAUAGAGGUAUAAGAACACUGGCUUUGAGGCCCAGACAGCCUGGGUGUUUAUCCCAGCUCCACCAUUACAGGCGGGGUGAGCUUGGGCCCUUCAGUUCUCUGGGUGUCAUUUCUUUGAGUGAAUAAAAGAAUAAUAAUAACAGCACCUACCUACUUCCUAGUGUUGGCUGCUGUGAAGGUAAAGGGCAAUUAGUGAGCUAAAUGCUUAGCACAAAACUGGGUAUGAGCUCUUAUCUGUAUGAGGGGAAGGGCCCAGAAUGGGAGAGCUGGGAUCUUGGGAACAUACUUCUCUUCACAGCAUUGUCUGAAUGGUAGAGCCCAUAUUUAUAGGGUUCAGAUGGCUCAGGAGCACCCAACUCAUGAUUAGAUUUUCUGCAUUAAACUGUGUGAGGACAGCAUGUUUACCUUUCAUUCAAGUAACUUUUUAAAAUAGUUUUUAUUUUUAGAAAAGCUAUAGAUUUAGGGGAUGCCUGAGUGGCUCAAUGGUUGAGCAUCUGCCUUUGGUUCAGGUUGUGAUCCUGGGGUCCUAGAAUCGAAUCCCGCAUCAGGGUCCCCACUGGGAGCCUGCUUCCCCCUCUGCCUAUGUCUCUGCCUCUCUCUGUGUGUCUCUCAUGAAUACAUAAAUAAAAUCCUUUUAGAAAGCUAUAGAUUUAUAGAAAACUGGAAUAUAGAGUACAGAGAAUUCCCAUAUACCCCACAUUCCAUUUUCCCAAUUACAUCUUCUGUUAGGAUGGUGUAUUUGUCACAUUAAAGCAAUAUUGAUACAUUAUUAUUAACUAAAGACCAUAUCUACAGAUUUC
Molecule: long non-coding RNA, 2437 nt
Filed under: Canis lupus familiaris (dog)
Lineage: Eukaryota; Metazoa; Chordata; Mammalia; Carnivora; Canidae
Description: lncRNA (ENSCAFG00845004405.1)
Source: RNAcentral